Molecule: long non-coding RNA, 446 nt
Filed under: Androctonus crassicauda
Lineage: Eukaryota; Metazoa; Arthropoda; Arachnida; Scorpiones; Buthidae
Source: RNAcentral
UUGAGCUGAUGAGGGCUUAAAGCCGAAGACAUUUCUUAAUUAAAGUUUUGUUUUUGGGUUGAAAUAGUGUUGGGUCUGCUCAUUCGUGCUGGGAAGUGUCCUUGAGAAUAGAUUUAUGAUUCCUAAUAGAGCAGUAAUGAAAAAUAGAUGUUGUUGUACUGUAUAGCUGAGCCAGCUAGGACUUAUGGAAGCGUAUUGGAGUGAACUGAGAACACGGUCGAUUAAACUACUUAAGGCAGAGGAGACGUGGGAAUUCCUGCAGCAAAGUAGACUCAAUGGGGUGUUCCCCAUGACUUUCUGGAACAUAAAACUACCGGUUGCCUCUAAGAAGAUCCUAGGGAACACGAGGAGAAUAUGCCUAAAAUCGGCAAUGACAAAUGCUAGGAGAAAAGUUUUCCAGUUAGCAGAAGAGAGGAAACAAUUAGAGCAAAAAAGAGUCAACCAAC